CUUGUCUCUUCUAGCUCCAAGACCUUGUUUUCAGACCUGUGAGCAACAUGUCCCACCAAACUCUACAGGGACUUGUUGUUAAACAUUAUAAAUAAAAUGACUGGAGUGUCCCUUGACCUUAAUGUUGUCCUCAACCGGCGACAGAAUGUUAAGCAAACUGUGUGGUAUGUGUUCGAGAAGAUCUUCACACUGGACUUUGCUACCCAACUGAACUGGUGUGGGAGGGGGCAGAAGACUGUCAUCCGGUCAAUGACACUGAAGGAUGCUAUUAUGUGUUCUGUUCUUAAAAACCCACAUUUGCCAGGAAUUACUGAGUUUGAGAGCCAAAGGGCGGGGACAGCAGCUGGAGGGAGAGACCUGCGGAAGAAGAGGACGAUUAAUUUGUAGCCUAUAUAAUGCACAAUUGUUGGGUGUUUUUGUUUAGGCUUCUUUAGUUUUUUCUAUGUUUUUUAAAUUGUACAUUCUGUAAAUACAGUUCAUACCGUAGUCUUUAUUUUGUCUCUUCACUUACGUCAGCAGUAGAUGUAUUAAAUGUCGGCAGUAGAUCUAUUAACCGUCGGCAAUAGAGCUAUUAAAUAUUGCGUCGGCAGAGAAGUGGGAAGCAUCGUUCAAACAUUGGCGGAAGGGAAAAAUCUACGUCUACUUGACAUCUUGCCGAUGGUCUGCCGAGGUCUGGAAAGCUUUAUGUAACCAAAUGGGGGUCUCGGUCAGUCUUUCCACUGGGUACCACCCACAGUCUAAUGGUCAGACCUCGGACAGCCCCUCCUUCGUUGGACCUCGGUGGGGGACCUUUGUGUUCUGUUCGGGCCAUUCUGUCCUCAUGACGCCGGUGUGUUCAUCUGCAGUAAUUGGUGGACUGGGAGGGUUACCAGCCCGACGAACAGACCUGGGUCCAUGCUCAGGACGUCCUCAACCCUGCUCUCCUUUGGGCAUUUCAUCACAACCGCCUGGAUCGUCCUGCUCCUAGGCCCAGGGGUAGACCCCCUGGCUGGAAACCUUGGUCUUCUGGAACGCCUGUGCAGAGGGGACUUCUGUAAGGUCUGCGGGCACCUCUAACCUUCAACAGCCUCCCCAGGAAUACACAGCCUCCGAAUGUCAAGUUCCCAGCUCACACAAACGCACCAUACCUCCCCAUUCUCAAUCACCAGAAUUCUAAGCCACCUGUUUCUCAUUAGCCCUUCAGUAUAUAGGUGCUGGUCAUAAAAUUAGAAUAUCAUCAAAAAGUUGAUUUGUUUCAUUAUGUGACAACUGCGACCUCUGCUGGUUCACCUCCCCCUGCAGCGGGCGGGCCUCAGCGGUCGACGUCACCUGCUUUCUGACGCCACCGUCUCAUCAUACAUUUCACCUGUGUCUCGUUUAUGCACCUGUUCCUCAUCAUCGCUGUUUCCCCCGGUAUAUAUGUUCCCUCUGCUCCCCCUGUCUUUGUGUGUAAUUGUCUCUUGCUUAUUGAAGAGCUGUUCAACGCUUUGUGAAAGCUUAUGCUGAUUUUCUCUCGCUGGGAUACAUUAAACUAUCCUUCCAUCAAGCCUUCUCCGGUUCCUCCUUGCUCCUCUCAACCCCGAAGCCGUGACAGAAUUACACACCCAACAAGACAGCAAGGAUAUGGAGCCUACGGGAGCCACAGGCGAGGUCGGUGUUGCGGAGGCGGUCCAAGUACAUUCAACGAUGCUGGCCAGCCUAGGCGCUGCAAUGGACAACGUCUUAAAAGCGGUGCAGCGCCUAGAGCUGAGCCAGCAGACCCCCGCAGCACCGGCCGUUUCUCCGCCUGCCCCUGCCGUGCCGCCAAGCAUGGGGGCACUACAUCUCCCCUUGCCCAGGGACUUCGACGGGGCGGCGGACCGCUGCC
Molecule: long non-coding RNA, 1846 nt
Organism: Esox lucius (northern pike)
Lineage: Eukaryota; Metazoa; Chordata; Actinopteri; Esociformes; Esocidae
Source: Ensembl